This 177-nucleotide unclassified non-coding RNA is filed under the name uncultured fungus. RNAcentral's name for it is "sequence contains ITS1". Lineage: Eukaryota; Fungi. The record is from RNAcentral.
UUUUUCAUUGCUUGUUUAUCUGACGAUAUAAUUCAGAGUGUAGACUCCGGCGAGCCCGCGUCGGAAUUCUUCCAACGGCUGUUUCCAACGUCUCGCCGAAGCAACGUCGAGUUGUCAAGGGUGGGAGUUCCUUUCGGAGUCUCGGUAAUGAUCCUUCCGCAGGUUCACCUACGGAAA